GGCCGCGGGAAUUCGAUUAGAGUUUGAUCAUGGCUCAGCCUGUACGCUGGCGGCGUGCUUAACACAUGCAAGUCGAACGGACUCAUAUUGAAACCUAGUGAUUUAUGAGUUAGUGGCGGACGGGUGAGUAACGCGUGGAUAACCUGCCGUAUACCGGGGGAUAACACUUAGAAAUAGGUGCUAAUACCGCAUAAGCGCACGGCUCCGCAUGGGGCAGUGUGAAAAACUCCGGUGGUAUACGAUGGAUCCGCGUCUGAUUAGCUAGUUGGCGGGGUAACGGCCCACCAAGGCAGCGAUCAGUAGCCGGCCUGAGAGGGUGGACGGCCACAUUGGGACUGAGACACGGCCCAAACUCCUACGGGAGGCAGCAGUGGGGAAUAUUGCACAAUGGGGGAAACCCUGAUGCAGCGACGCCGCGUGAGUGAAGAAGUAUCUCGGUACGUAAAGCUCUAUCAGCAGGGAAGAAAAUGACGGUACCUGACUAAGAAGCCCCGGCUAACUACGUGCCAGCAGCCGCGGUAAUACGUAGGGGGCAAGCGUUAUCCGGAUUUACUGGGUGUAAAGGGAGCGUAGACGGCAGCACAAGUCUGGAGUGAAAUCCCGGGGCUUAACCCCGGAACUGCUUUGGAAACUGUGCGGCUGGAGUGCAGGAGGGGUAAGCGGAAUUCCUAGUGUAGCGGUGAAAUGCGUAAAUAUUAGGAGGAACACCGGUGGCGAAUGCGGCUUACUGGACUGUAACUGACGUUGAGGCUCGAAAGCGUGGGGAGCCAACAGGAUUAGAUACCCUGGUAGUCCCCGCCGUAAACGAUGAUUACUAAGUGUCGGGGGAUCAGGUUCCUCCGGUGCCGGCGCAAAACGCAUUAAGUAAUCCCCCUGGGGGAGUACGUUUCCCAAAAAUGAAACUCAAAGGAAU
This 913-nucleotide ribosomal RNA is filed under the name uncultured bacterium. RNAcentral describes it as "partial 16S ribosomal RNA". It matches the Rfam family "Bacterial small subunit ribosomal RNA", at positions 1 to 910 of the family's 1533-position model. The record is from RNAcentral.